CUCGUAGGCGGUUCGUCGCGUCCGGUGUGAAAGUCCAUCGCUUAACGGUGGAUCCGCGCCGGGUACGGGCGGGCUGGAGUGCGGUAGGGGAGACUGGAAUUCCCGGUGUAACGGUGGAAUGUGUAGAUAUCGGGAAGAACACCAAUGGCGAAGGCAGGUCUCUGGGCCGUUACCGACGCUGAGGAGCGAAAGCGUGGGGAGCGAACA
Molecule: ribosomal RNA, 207 nt
Filed under: uncultured bacterium
Lineage: Bacteria
Description: partial 16S ribosomal RNA
Rfam family: Bacterial small subunit ribosomal RNA
Source: RNAcentral